ACUGGGUUUUUUUUGCAUCCUGCUUUUAAAAAACAAGAAGGCCAUGCUGUUGGAGGAUCACUUGGGCCCAGGAGUUCUGGGCUGUAAGUGUGCUAUGCCAACAUUUAGCAUCAACAUAAUGACCCCCUGGGAGUGGAAGAACCCCAGGUUGCCUAAGGAGGAGUAAACUUCUGCAGGUCAGAAAUGGGACAGAUCCAAACUCCUGUGCUAAUUCUUAGUGGGAUCGUGCCUAUGUAUAGCCGCACUGCACUCCAGCCUGGGCAACACAGUGAGACCCUGUCUCUC
Macaca fascicularis (crab-eating macaque) is the source of this 285-nucleotide unclassified non-coding RNA. It matches the Rfam family "Metazoan signal recognition particle RNA". Rfam says of the family: The signal recognition particle (SRP) is a universally conserved ribonucleoprotein. The record is from Ensembl. Lineage: Eukaryota; Metazoa; Chordata; Mammalia; Primates; Cercopithecidae.